CGGUUGCUUACACAUGCAAGUCGAACGGUAACAGCACUAGCUUGCUAGUGGCUGACGAGUGGCGGACGGGUGAGUAACACGUAGGAAUCUGCCUUGCAGCGGGGGACAACCUGGGGAAACCCAGGCUAAUACCGCGUAAUCCUGAAAAGGCAAAGCUGGGGUAACCUGGCGCUGUAAGAUGAGCCUGCGUCGGAUUAGCUUGUUGGUGGGGUAAAAGCCUACCAAGGCGACGAUCCGUAGCUGGUCUGAGAGGAUGACCAGCCACACUGGAACUGAGACACGGUCCAGACUCCUACGGGAGGCAGCAGUGGGGAAUAUUGGACAAUGGGGGCAACCCUGAUCCAGCAAUACCGCGUGUGUGAAGAAGGCCUGCGGGUUGUAAAGCACUUUCAGUAGUGAAGAAAAGUUAUGGGGGAAUAUCCCAUAGCCCUGACAUUAGCUACAGAAGAAGCACCGGCUAACUCUGUGCCAGCAGCCGCGGUAAUACAGAGGGUGCAAGCGUUAAUCGGAAUUACUGGGCGUAAAGAGUGCGUAGGCGGUUAUUUAAGUUGGAUGUGAAAUCCCUGGGCUCAACCUAGGAAUUGCAUUCAAUACUGGGAUAGCUAGAGUACAGUAGAGGAGAGCGGAAUUU
RNAcentral lists this ribosomal RNA (631 nucleotides) under uncultured Gammaproteobacteria bacterium. RNAcentral's name for it is "bacterial SSU rRNA". It matches the Rfam family "Bacterial small subunit ribosomal RNA", at positions 40 to 669 of the family's 1533-position model. Lineage: Bacteria; Pseudomonadati; Pseudomonadota; Gammaproteobacteria. The record is from RNAcentral.